AAGAAUCUUCCGCAAUGGGGGAAACCCUGACGGAGCGACGCCGCGUGGACGAUGAAGGCCGUAAGGUUGUAAAGUCCUUUUGCAGGUGAAGAAUAAGCCGGGGAGUGGAAUGCCCUGGUGAUGACGUUAGCCUGCGAAUAAGCCCCGGCCAAUUACGUGCCAGCAGCCGCGGUAAUACGUAUGGGGCGAGCGUUGUUCGGAGUUAUUGGGCGUAAAGGGCGUGUAGGCGGCUCGAGAAGUCUGGUGUGAAAUCGCAGGGCUCAACCCUGCGGGUGCGCUGGAAACUGACGGGCUUGAGUCCCGGGGGGGAAGCUGGAAUUCCUGGUGUAGGAGUGAAAUCUGUAGAGAUCAGGAAGAACACCGGUGGCGAAGGCGAGCUUCUAUUCGAGGACUGACGCUGAGGCGCGAAAGCGUGGGGAGCAAACAG
Molecule: ribosomal RNA, 427 nt
Filed under: uncultured bacterium
Lineage: Bacteria
Description: bacterial SSU rRNA
Rfam family: Bacterial small subunit ribosomal RNA
Source: RNAcentral